CUACGGGUGGCUCCAGUGAGGAAUAUUGCACAAUGGGCGCAAGCCUGAUGCAGCCAUGCCGCGUGUAUGAAGAAGGCCUUCGGGUUGUAAAGUACUUUCAGCGGGGAGGAAGGGAGUAAAGUUAAUACCUUUGCUCAUUGACGUUACCCGCAGAAGAAGCACCGGCUAACUCCGUGCCAGCAGCCGCAGUAAUACGGAGGGUGCAAGCGUUAAUCGGAAUUACUGGGCGUAAAGCGCACGCAGGCGGUUUGUUAAGUCAGAUGUGAAAUCCCCGGGCUCAACCUGGGAACUGCAUCUGAUACUGGCAAGCUUGAGUCUCGGAGAGGGGGGUAGAAUUCCAGGUGUAGCGGUGAAAUGCGUAGAGAUCUGGAGGAAUACCGGUGGCGAAGGCGGCCCCCUGGACGAAGACUGACGCUCAGGUGCGAAAGCGUGGGGAGCAAACAGGAUUAGAUACCCCCGUAGUC
Molecule: ribosomal RNA, 464 nt
Filed under: uncultured bacterium
Lineage: Bacteria
Description: partial 16S ribosomal RNA
Rfam family: Bacterial small subunit ribosomal RNA
Source: RNAcentral